GGGAUUGCCCUAGUAACGGCGAGUGAAGCGGCAACAGCUCAAAUUUGAAAUCUGGCCCUCGUGGUCCGAGUUGUAAUUUGUAGAGGAUGCUUUUGGUGCGGUGCCUUCCGAGUUCCCUGGAACGGGACGCCAGAGAGGGUGAGAGCCCCGUACGGUUGGACACCUACCCUAUAUAUAGCUCCUUCGACGAGUCGAGUAGUUUGGGAAUGCUGCUCUAAAUGGGAGGUAAAUUUCUUCUAAAGCUAAAUACCGGCCAGAGACCGAUAGCGCACAAGUAGAGUGAUCGAAAGAUGAAAAGCACUUUGAAAAGAGGGUUAAAUAGCACGUGAAAUUGUUGAAAGGGAAGCGUUUGCGACCAGACUUUUUCCAGGCGGAUCAUCCGGUGUUCUCACCGGUGCACUUCGCCUGGUUUAGGCCAGCAUCGGUUCUCUUAGGGGGAUAAAGGCUUGGGGAACGUAGCUCCUUCGGGAGUGUUAUAGCCCCUUGCGUAAUACCCUUCGGGGGACCGAGGAUCGCGCUCUGCAAGGAUGCUGGCGUAAUGGUCGUCAACGACCCGUCUUGAAACACGGACCAAGGAGUCGAACAUUUGUGCGAGUGUUUGGGUGUUAAACCCUCACGCGUAAUGAAAGUGAACGGAGGUGAGAGCCCUUACGGGUGCAUCAUCGACCGAUCCUGAUGUCUUCGGAUGGAUUUGAGUAAGAGCAUAACUGUUCGGACCCGAAAGAUGGUGAACUAUGCGUGGAUAGGGUGAAGCCAGAGGAAACUCUGGUGGAGGCUCGCAGCGGUUCUGACGUGCAAAUCGAUCGUCAAAUCUGCGCAUGGGGGCGAAAGACUAUCGAACCAUCAUGUGCGU
This 853-nucleotide ribosomal RNA is filed under the name Hypoxylon sp. Its description in RNAcentral is "partial large subunit ribosomal RNA". It matches the Rfam family "Eukaryotic large subunit ribosomal RNA", at positions 71 to 952 of the family's 3401-position model. Lineage: Eukaryota; Fungi; Ascomycota; Sordariomycetes; Xylariales; Hypoxylaceae. The record is from RNAcentral.